Long non-coding RNA from Gigantopelta aegis, 771 nucleotides. RefSeq lists it as uncharacterized. The record is from RefSeq and is a predicted model, not a curated record. NCBI's taxonomy places the organism in Eukaryota, Metazoa, Mollusca, Gastropoda, Neomphalida, Peltospiridae. The transcript has 3 exons.
GUCACCAAAUGCUCGGACUAGUGACGUAUUCUUAGUUACCCACAACUAUCAGGCCGCAAACUAUUUCUUGCUCAUAAAUACUCGGGUUAUUAUUAUUACUAUUAUUAUUACUAUUAUUUGUUUUACUAUUUUGUGAAGAAACAAACACAUCUGCUUGCAACGAUAACACUUAAAACAUCUGCGGUUCUGUGUGUCAACGAAGGAAACGGAAAGAAAGAAACAUUGCAGGUAUGACGUCACCAAAGAUGCGUCUCAUUUUUGCAGUAAUUGCAAUGGCUUUUCUCAACCAAUGUAGAGCAGGGGUGCUACAGAGUUUCCGCCAGAAAAAAAAAAAUAUGGGGGGAUCAGACAGGCGGAGGGGCGAAGCCCCCGACCGCGCGCGUCAUGAGCCCUCCCCCAGAAAAAAAAUGGAUUUUAGAUGCCAGAAGAUGCGAUUUCCUAGCAUCUCGGAACACAAUCUGGGAGCCAAAACUGUCGGCAAAAUUGAUCUAUUCUGAUGCACUAACCGUGAAAAUCGUCACAAAUGGACAAAAAUAAAUCAUGUAUUCCAUCUUAUAACUUUUAUUCCGAUAAUUUAUACAUUUAAAAAUGUCCUCUCGUCGGCGUUAUCAUUUGACAGCGCAUGCGCCAGCAGCCAUAAUAUAUAGCCGAUGAUUUCAGGUGGUAGAGAAGUAAAUAAUAAUACACUGUUGACUAUAUUAACAUAAAAGCAAACAGUUGUUGUCAACAUAUGCAGGUGUAAUUAUUGUCAAAAAUUAAAUUUCUUACUCA